This 107-nucleotide small nuclear RNA is filed under the name Aotus nancymaae (Ma's night monkey). Lineage: Eukaryota; Metazoa; Chordata; Mammalia; Primates; Aotidae. The record is from RNAcentral.
AUGCUUACUUUAGCAGCACAUGUACUAACACUGGAACACUACAGAGAAGAUUAGUAUGGCCCCUGUGGAAGGAUGACACACAGAUUUGUGAAGCGUUCCAUAUUUUU